This 1264-nucleotide long non-coding RNA is filed under the name Homo sapiens (human). RNAcentral describes it as "HSALNT0137819". The record is from RNAcentral. Lineage: Eukaryota; Metazoa; Chordata; Mammalia; Primates; Hominidae.
AGUUAGGUGUGGCCAAGCUUUGGCCAGUGGAAUUUGAACAGAAGUCACGUGUCCAAAUCCCAUGCCUGGUCUAUAAAAUCUUCCCAUCCGUAAUCUUCCUGCUUUCUUUACUCACUGAAUAGAUAAAAAUUCCAGGGACCUGGAAGAGUGUAGGGCCACAAGCUGGAAGUAGCCUAGAUCCCGAGGAACAUCAUGGAAAACAGUGCCCUCACCCCUUCCCGUGAGCCGACCAGGAGGCAACACAACUACACACUGUGUGAACUGAACCUCAGAUACCACUGGCCUGUCACCAACAGAUUUUGAAGCAAAUGAUGUGAUUGUUCACCGAUUAUCAGUGCAUCUGUUAUUUACAUAGUGAUUUGUGAACUGACAAGUUAGCAGCAGUUUCUGCUUUAUGCAAUUGUUCUGUUAAUAGACUGUGAUUGUGGAAGGAGUCUUUGGACUAGGCAGAAAGUGAUCAAUUUCCUCUCAUAUUACCCUCAACCUGCGGCCUAUUUGUACUCCUGAUUGGAUAAAAGGGUUAAGAAGAACAAAAUGGUUGGAGAGAUUUUUGAAUUUUUAUGAUAAUUAUUUGGUGUCCCAGGAUCUACUGAAUGUCUCAAGAGAGGAACUUUUUUCCACUUCACAAAUUCUAAUUUUUGACUUGAUAAAGAAUGAUGAAUAUUUGUCACACAGAUAUUUAAAUGGAAUCAGGGCUGUAUAUAACCAUGACAUAAUACUUUGUCAAAAAGUGAAAAGUUAAUCUGGUUGAAGGUAUUUUUACCUGGCAUAUGGAGAAGAUGAUGACAAUAAUGUGGAACUUGAUUAGACAUCAACAGAGACUCAAUGCCUCCUGGAAAACACCUGAGAAAUGAUUGAAGCUCGCUCUGGUCUUGCCUGGAAUCAUGCAUAACAUUUGUUGCUGCCUGCAUGUGGAUUCAUUUUAGCAGUUUAUCAAUUUGGACAGGGAAUUUUGAAUAAAAAAUUUUGGCAGUCAUUAUAGUGACUCUUCUGAGACUGAAAAUUCAGGUAACAAGGAAAAUCAGUGACUCUUUCUCUCUGCUUUCUUCAAAACACAAAUAAUCCAAUGAUGUAUAGGCUGCAUUGCCCUUUGAUUUGUUACCUUAGAGAUCAUUACAUGUUAGUACAUAAAGAAACUUCCCAAUCUUCUUUUAUAGCAUCCAGGUACUCCAAUGUGUAAUUCAGCCAUAACUUAAUAAAAUGGACUCUGUUUGAUAAACAUUUGGAUUAUUUCAAAUAUUUUACUAUUAUAAAGAAUGUUGAA